CAGUAGCCGCGGGAAUACCAGCAGCCCAAGUGGUGGUCGCGUUUAUUGGGCCUAAAGCGCUCGUAGCCUGGCCGGUAAGUUCCCCGUGAAAUCGGGUCGCCCAACGAUUCGGCUUGCGGGGAAUACUGUCGGUCUUGGGGCCGGGAGACGCCGAGGGUACUCCGGGGGUAGCGGUGAAAUGCUGUAAUCCUCGGGGGACUACCAGUGGCGAAGGCGCUCGGCGAUAACGGGCCUGACGGUGAGGGGCGAAAGCUGGGGGCGCGAACGGGAUUAGAUACCCGCGUAGUCCCUGUCUCUUAUU
RNAcentral lists this ribosomal RNA (301 nucleotides) under uncultured bacterium. Its description in RNAcentral is "partial 16S ribosomal RNA". It matches the Rfam family "Archaeal small subunit ribosomal RNA", at positions 459 to 759 of the family's 1478-position model. The record is from RNAcentral.